ACUUCCGUCACCACUGUCAAAAGGCUCAUUGUGAAAGAUUCCCUGGCCUUGGCUGUCAGCAAAGGUUUUCCACAUCUCGAGGAAGCAGACUGAUCAGGAGUAAAAGGAAUGAGCAUUAAGACUAUGAUAUGGUAGGAGGACUGAAUUCCUGAGAAGUGUUUGUACCAGAGGAUAAGACAGUGAGGCACUGAAUCUGGAGUUAAGCCAAUCACCUGCAGAUUUUACUCUUUAUACCACUGACCAAAGAAAUAUAUGUGUAUCCUCCAACCUGCAGAGAAGCUGUGCUGUGCUGAAUAUAUAACAUCAUACAGAGUGCGCUACAGGUUCAGUGUCACCAAUGACGUUAACAGCACUCUAGAGUCUGUAAGAUUUAGAGCAUCUUCUCAACUCCUUAACCGACUACCAGCUAGUGGCUCAGGCCACAGGGCGAUAAAGAAAAAAUCACUUUGGUGUGAUCCUUGAAAGGUAUUUUAAGUGCCUACAGAAAAAUGAAUUAUAUCCCAAGCAUUUUUGCAUCCACAACAGAUGGAAUAAAGCCUGAUCAAAAGUAGAUCCCCAAGAAACAAUUUUACCAACAAAAUGGGUAAAAUACAGAAACUUGCCAUUAAAAAUUAAC
Chinchilla lanigera (long-tailed chinchilla) is the source of this 616-nucleotide long non-coding RNA. RefSeq lists it as uncharacterized. The record is from RefSeq and is a predicted model, not a curated record. The transcript has 4 exons. NCBI's taxonomy places the organism in Eukaryota, Metazoa, Chordata, Mammalia, Rodentia, Chinchillidae.